UGGCUCAGUGAGGCGUCCGGACUGGCCCAGAGAGGUGGGCAACUACCACUCAGGGCCGGAAAGCUCUCCAAACUCGGUCAUUUAGAGGAAGUAAAAGUCGUAACAAGGUCUCCGUUGGUGAACCAGCGGAGGGAUCAUUACCGAGUUUACAACUCCCAAACCCCUGUGAACAUACCACUUGUUGCCUCGGCGGAUCAGCCCGCUCCCGGUAAAACGGGACGGCCCGCCAGAGGACCCCUAAACUCUGUUUCUAUAUGUAACUUCUGAGUAAAACCAUAAAUAAAUCAAAACUUUCAACAACGGAUCUCUUGGUUCUGGCAUCGAUGAAGAACGCAGCAAAAUGCGAUAAGUAAUGUGAAUUGCAGAAUUCAGUGAAUCAUCGAAUCUUUGAACGCACAUUGCGCCCGCCAGUAUUCUGGCGGGCAUGCCUGUUCGAGCGUCAUUUCAACCCUCAAGCACAGCUUGGUGUUGGGACUCGCGUUAAUUCGCGUUCCUCAAAUUGAUUGGCGGUCACGUCGAGCUUCCAUAGCGUAGUAGUAAAACCCUCGUUACUGGUAAUCGUCGCGGCCACGCCGUUAAACCCCAACUUCUGAAUGUUGACCUCGGAUCAGGUAGGAAUACCCGCUGAACUUAAGCAUAUCAAUAAGCGGAGGAAAAGAAACCAACAGGGAUUGCCCUAGUAACGGCGAGUGAAGCGGCAACAGCUCAAAUUUGAAAUC
This 719-nucleotide ribosomal RNA is filed under the name uncultured fungus. RNAcentral describes it as "eukaryotic LSU rRNA". The stretch from base 289 to 442 matches the Rfam family "5.8S ribosomal RNA". Lineage: Eukaryota; Fungi. The record is from RNAcentral.